Molecule: long non-coding RNA, 1079 nt
Filed under: Macaca fascicularis (crab-eating macaque)
Lineage: Eukaryota; Metazoa; Chordata; Mammalia; Primates; Cercopithecidae
Description: lncRNA (ENSMFAG00000052146.1)
Source: RNAcentral
UCCCGUAUACACACAAAUGCUUAUACAUUCUUGCACAUAGACAGAACCAUAUGGCUCUGUCUGGCCAAAAUAUCUUCUGGACUGAAGCAUUUAAGAGCUAGUUUGUGAUCCUCCUUCUACCUGUUUUUCUUGUAUGAGUAACAACUAAGAUUCCUUUUGGGACGAUAAAGCAUUUGUUAGUCUGAGUCUCCAGUGACAGUAUUGGUCAGACACCCUGGAUGAAAUACUGCAUGAGUAAAAAUAAACUUUUGUUGAGUUAAGUCACUGAGAUUUUGGAGUUUGUUUUGCUAUUGCAGCACAGUCUAUGUUAUGACUUCUCGGUGUCACAGUUAGCUGAGAAAAAGUUUGACUCAGAAUUUUUUCCAGCUUUAUUGAGAGAUAACUGACAAAUAAAAAUUGUAUAUAUUCAAAGUGUACAAUAUGAUGAUUUGAUUGUGUAACAAUUGCCACACUCAAAUUAAUUAACACAACCCUCACCUUUGUAAGGGAAUAGAAUGGUAGGUACAGCAAGAGGGUGGUAAAAUUAUUUAUCAACUUCUUUGCCUUUCUACCUCAUUUUGUUCUUACUUCACAUAUAGCAUGUGCCUACUGAAUUGCAGUGUGUAUUUUUAUAUAGUACUCAGUUCCACUAGACAGUGAGAUUUUUAUUCAGGAUUUUAUGUCUAGAUGAUGCUUUAUUUAUCUUUAUAGUCAUACACAUAAUAUGGUGGUAGGCACAGAGUAGAUUCAUGAAUAUUGAGUAAAAUAAUGAAUCUGUAAGUAUACAAAAGCAACUGAAAACUGGGCACAGUGGCUCACACCUGUAAUCCCAGCACUUUGGGAGGCCAAGGCAGGUGGAUCAUGAGGUCAAGAGAUCGAGACCAUCCUGACCAACAUGGUGAAACCCUGUCUCUACUAAAAAUACAAAAAUUAGCUGGACAUGGUGGUGUGUGCCUGUAAUCCCAGCUACUCGGGAGGCUGAGGCAGAAGAAUUUGCUUGAACCAGGGAGUCGGAGGUUGCAGUGAGCCAAGAUUGUACCACAGCACUACAGCCUGGUGACAGAGUGAGACUCUGUGUCAAAAAAAAAAAAAAAAAAAAA